RNAcentral lists this long non-coding RNA (850 nucleotides) under Gossypium barbadense (sea-island cotton). Its description in RNAcentral is "long non-coding RNA (GBAR_LNC011872)". Lineage: Eukaryota; Viridiplantae; Streptophyta; Magnoliopsida; Malvales; Malvaceae. The record is from RNAcentral.
UUAAACCGGCAAGUUUGCUUCAAACCAAUGUCAUCUUCAUCAAUCAGCUCAUUCAAAGUUGAAGCCAAGAAAGGGGAGUGGUUGCCUGGUUUACCUUCACCGGCUUACCUCACUGGAAGGUACAUUCUUUUAGUUAUACUAUUUGAUACAAAAUAAAGUGAAGAUACUAAUUCAGUAUCUCAGACAAUGGCAUUUGCACCAAAAUAUAGAUUAUUUUUUUAACAUAUGAAAACUCUUGUUUUGAAGCAAUAUCUAAUAUCUCAAUUAGCUAUUUGGUGGGUCACACUGAUUAUUUUAUUCAUUGGUAUUUAAAGGAAAUAUACAUAAUCAGCUAUCAGCAGUAGAUUAAACCAAAGGACGUGGUGGUUAGAGUUGAAUUCGGAAUUAAACUUUGACCAGUAGUGUAUAAGCGAAAAUAGAAUCAAUUAUUGUGAAUCAAAUCUGACAACCAAUGAUUUAGCUAGUUCGGUUUGAUUCUUAACAUUGGUUAUAACAUUAUGGAAAUGCAGUCUUCCAGGUGACAAUGGAUUCGACCCUCUUGGAUUGGCGGAGGAUCCGGAGAACUUGAGAUGGUUCGUGCAAGCAGAGCUGGUGAAUGGCCGCUGGGCAAUGUUGGGUGUUGCAGGGAUGCUUUUGCCUGAAGUAUUCACCAAGAUUGGGCUGAUCAAUGCUCCCCAAUGGUACGAUGCUGGAAAAUCCGAAUACUUCGCAUCCUCCUCCACCCUAUUUGUGAUCGAGUUCAUAUUGUUCCACUACGUCGAGAUCAGACGGUGGCAAGACAUCAAGAACCCAGGAUGUGUGAACCAAGAUCCCAUCUUCAAGCAAUACAGCCUGCCCCCACACGAGUGCG